Molecule: small nucleolar RNA, 134 nt
Organism: Arvicanthis niloticus (Nile rat)
Lineage: Eukaryota; Metazoa; Chordata; Mammalia; Rodentia; Muridae
Product: small nucleolar RNA SNORA17
Source: RefSeq, a predicted model, not a curated record
UGUGUGGCUGCAGGUGUGGCUGUAGGUGUGGUUGCUGUGUCACAUUGUGCCGGUAGGUGGCAGAGAGGAAAGAAGCUAUGCCUAUGCUCAAUUUUCUUACCUAUGAACAUCUGAAUAACUAGUAGCCUAACAAU